UUCAUUUAAAAUUCAAUUAAAAUGCAGAGCCCCCCAGAGCGGUGGCUAGGACCCGGGCAGUGUGAGUGCCACUGAAAAUCAGCUCACGUGCCGCCUUCGGCCCACGUGCCAUAGGUUGUCUACUCCUGGUUUAGAGAGACAAUGAUAAAUGUACAAACUAACGAAUGGCAGAGAGUAGGUCAGUCAGGGCUCCUCUUUACCCACUCUCAUAAUGCAAGAACAACGGGACACGCGAUGAAGUGGAGGGAAGAAAAGGUAAAACUGACACGCGGACACUCAUGUACAUAACACGUAACUCCGCUGUAGAGCUCAUGGCCACAGAAUGUCAUUAGAGUUAUGAACUGUGAGGGGUUCAGAGGAGAAUUGGAGAAUCAGAUAGAUGGCCAGGACCUCCACAAUUGCAUGAGAGAGAAUGAAAAUACAAAAGGAAAUCUCCAAUGUUUGGAAGGGAUCUAAAUCCUCCUCCUCAGGGCACAAGCCACCCAGGCUCUAACUACCUGGAGUUAGGAAGAAAUUUUCCCCAAGGGCAAAUUACUCUGCACUUGUCCACUAGGUGGGUUUCUUGUCCCUUCCUCUGAAGCACCAGCCAGUUUCAGAGAGAGAAGAGGGGACUAGAUGGACACCUGGUCUGAUCUGGUCGGGUGUUUCCUGUGUUCCCAUUAGAGUGAAUCGAAAUGUGUCAGACACUUCACCUUGAAAGGCAACGUAAUCAAAGCCAAAUCUUGUGUUUUAACAGAGAGAGCUUAUCUGGAGAAUUACUCUUGCUGAAGUGAACGUGCUACGUAGGUGCAAAGAUGAGUUGCCAGGAAAUAUUCGUGAGCAGCAUGUCACCACAUGGAAGAUUAUGCUCUACUUCUGAAGCAAAUGACUCUUACAGUAACCACACACCCCUAACUGAAGCAAAGAGACAAACUGCAGAAGCAGCAAAGCGGAGAGCAAUGGAGAUUCUGAGAGAUGCCCUGAAGAAGAAGGACCGAGUGCUGAUGGAGAAGCCCCAGGAUCUGUUUUUUGGUGAUAGCAGAGAUCCCAAAUUCUGGAUGGAACGCCAUGCGAUACUGACAGAAGAGUUAGUUCGAGAUCUCAUCUCAGAGCUGGAAGUUGUGAAGUUUAAGGAGGAUCUAACCAGGAAAUAUAUUUAUGCAUAUGUUUAUUCAAAGUCUGGAGACAAAACAGUGUAUUUGUGCCCAGAAUUCUGGAAGGCUUCUACAUAUCUUGGAGAAGGGUCUCAGCCAGGGACUCUUAUCCAUGAAGUGUCUCACUUCCUGGGGAUACGAGAUAUCGACUAUUCCAAAGCCAGUAUCUAUGUUGCCUGCAGAGGGAAGUUGGUAAAAAGCAAAUCAGACCCCAGUGCCCCAGAUCUGAAUCCCCUUGGGAAAGCACUAUUAAAUGCUAACAACAUCACAGAUGAAUUUGAAAUUACCCUAAAUCACAAAGGAAGAUACGAGAAUGGAAAAUACACCUGCUGUGGGGAAAAAGCCGUGAACUCAGUUUGUGAGAGAGCUGUGCCUGAUGAGUUUCUUAUUCACUAUUUCAGGGAAAGUGAGAAGAGGAAGAACAUUGGUGAAAUUAUGGAGGAGUCAUUACUGCCCACAGCAAAGAGACUGGAGAGUCACGUAACCCAACUUAGAAAGAUGGCAGAUGAAAUUGAUGAAACUCAUAAAAAUGCUACAAUAGCAAAGGCUCAUGCAGUGACAAGUUCAAACAAAAAGAACGAGGUGGAGAAGAUUUUAAAGGAAUGUCAGGAUAUGCUGAAAUGUAUUGAGAAGGAACUUUCCAAAAUCACUAAAGAGAUUAAAAAACCGGGAGAGGACAGUUAUAUUGUUUUGUUAGCAGAACUGUAUGAAUGGAUAAGAAUUGGUGAAAUCCUGGCAGGAAGUGUUCCAAGCAGUUUAACAGCGACAACUGCUUUAUUUGCUGCUGCAAUUUUAGUGAAUGAUUCUAAGAAACCUAUGGAAGGUGAGAAACUUGCAGCUGAAAUCCGAAGAGAAGCUGCAAAAAUGGAAGAAGUCAUUAAAAUAGUAAAUAAGUUUUAUGGAUCAGUAAGAAGAUUAUAGCUAGGCAAAACAACACUGCUUAUUUGCAGCAUGAAAUGAUUCAGCUGAAAUCGUUUAGGUACCUUCUCUCUAAGAAAGUUCAGAAUCCAAAUAAGGUUUGAUUGACAAUCUAUUGGGGAAACAGAUCACAUGUAGAACCUGCUGUAACUGCCCUUUCUUUAGAAGCCUAAGAACACAUCCCUGUAAAUAAAAGGUUCCACACCAUGUCUGACA
RNAcentral lists this long non-coding RNA (2267 nucleotides) under Chrysemys picta bellii (western painted turtle). Its description in RNAcentral is "lncRNA (ENSCPBG00000017532.1)". Lineage: Eukaryota; Metazoa; Chordata; Testudines; Emydidae. The record is from RNAcentral.